Non-coding RNA from Pelobates cultripes (western spadefoot toad), 679 nucleotides. Lineage: Eukaryota; Metazoa; Chordata; Amphibia; Anura; Pelobatidae. The record is from the annotation of a GenBank genome assembly.
GAUUGGAGACAGAUGUAAUAGCAACAAGGAUCCUAAAAGGGUUUGUGGCAGUUUUCCUAUACACUACACAACUUUGGAAGCUGCAGACACAUUCACGUACGCUGGAUGGUGUCCAAAAGAGAAGGAAGAUGCAUGAUACUAUGAUAAUAAGUCUAAGGGAGGACUUGUUACUGUCUUUCUGUGGACCAGGCAACUCUCUGUCUUGAUGGCCCUUAGCUAUUAAAAACAGCUUGACAUUCAAGCCAAGAAUUAUGACAAAAAUUGCAAUGUUACUAAUAAUGUUGCUAAUACCUUUAACAGUUGAAGUGCUGGAGUUCCCAAGGAGGCCAUAUAUUAAUGUCAUGCAUAGGGGAAACAACCAGCAGAAGACCAGGACCCCAAUGGUCCUAGUUUUAGUCAUGACACUCAUGUACCUAAAAGGAAAGGCCACAGCAAAGUAACGUUCAGACUGAGAGGAUAGGAUAGUCAAAAAAAUAACACCCAUAAAGUUAUACACAACCAUCUCGCUGAUCAUAAACCCUAAUGGAUCUUCAAGGUUCUGAAACACAGCUAUGUAAAACCAGACCGUCCCCAGUGAAAAACCACUUAAGCAGGUAUUGAGAAUGUAGAGGAAUCUAUUCUCCGAUCUCAAGGUCUUUGUCCACAGUAUGGACAUGACGAUUACACCGUUCAAUGAGAG